Molecule: ribosomal RNA, 372 nt
Filed under: Cryptosporidium hominis
Lineage: Eukaryota; Apicomplexa; Conoidasida; Eucoccidiorida; Cryptosporidiidae
Description: partial small subunit ribosomal RNA
Rfam family: Eukaryotic small subunit ribosomal RNA
Source: RNAcentral
GUAGUUGGAUUUCUGUUAAUAAUUUAUAUAAAAUAUUUUGAUGAAUAUUUAUAUAAUAUUAACAUAAUUCAUAUUACUAUUUUUUUUUUUAGUAUAUGAAAUUUUACUUUGAGAAAAUUAGAGUGCUUAAAGCAGGCAUAUGCCUUGAAUACUCCAGCAUGGAAUAAUAUUAAAGAUUUUUAUCUUUUUUAUUGGUUCUAAGAUAAGAAUAAUGAUUAAUAGGGACAGUUGGGGGCAUUUGUAUUUAACAGUCAGAGGUGAAAUUCUUAGAUUUGUUAAAGACAAACUAAUGCGAAAGCAUUUGCCAAGGAUGUUUUCAUUAAUCAAGAACGAAAGUUAGGGGAUCGAAGACGAUCAGAUACCGUCGUAGUC